GCUCCAAUAGCGUAUAUUAAUGUUGUUGCAGUUAAAAAGCUCGUAGUUGGAUUUCUGGUCGGAUUACCUGGGCGGCUCCGCAAGGGGUCGUGCUUGGGUGACUCCGUCCAUCCUCAGGAGGGCGCCUGGUGGUAUUAAUUUAUCGCUGGGUGACCGCCUGUCGUUUACUGUGAACAAAUUAGAGUGUUCAAAGCAAGGUG
RNAcentral lists this ribosomal RNA (200 nucleotides) under uncultured eukaryote. RNAcentral describes it as "partial 18S ribosomal RNA". It matches the Rfam family "Eukaryotic small subunit ribosomal RNA", at positions 588 to 787 of the family's 1831-position model. The record is from RNAcentral.